Molecule: ribosomal RNA, 164 nt
Filed under: uncultured bacterium
Lineage: Bacteria
Description: partial 16S ribosomal RNA
Rfam family: Bacterial small subunit ribosomal RNA
Source: RNAcentral
UAGGGAAUCUUCCACAAUGGGCGCAAGCCUGAUGGAGCAACACCGCGUGAGUGAAGAAGGGUUUCGGCUCGUAAAGCUCUGUUGUUAAAGAAGAACACGUAUGAGAGUAACUGUUUACCCAGUGACGGUAUUUAACCAGAAGGCCACGGCUAACUACGUGCUAG